ACAGUUUGGAUUUCAACCUCCUGAUUUAUAUGCAAGCUUUCCCCUAGCUGGCAUAAAACGAAAUUGCUGUGUGUAGUCUUUGCCUGUCUCCAAUGACGGGCCUUUUUUUGU
Molecule: non-coding RNA, 111 nt
Filed under: Ewingella americana
Lineage: Bacteria; Pseudomonadati; Pseudomonadota; Gammaproteobacteria; Enterobacterales; Yersiniaceae
Also listed under: 2 other names
Description: antisense sRNA RprA
Rfam family: RprA RNA
About the family: Translational regulation of the stationary phase sigma factor RpoS is mediated by the formation of a double-stranded RNA stem-loop structure in the upstream region of the rpoS messenger RNA, occluding the translation initiation site. Clones carrying rprA (RpoS regulator RNA A) increased the translation of RpoS.
Source: RNAcentral